Molecule: ribosomal RNA, 243 nt
Filed under: uncultured bacterium
Lineage: Bacteria
Description: partial 16S ribosomal RNA
Rfam family: Bacterial small subunit ribosomal RNA
Source: RNAcentral
CACGCCGUAAACGAUGUCAACUAGCCGUUGGGGGUCUUAGUACCUUUAGUGGCGCAGCUAACGCAUUAAGUUGACCGCCUGGGGAGUACGGUCGCAAGACUAAAACUCAAAGGAAUUGACGGGGGCCCGCACAAGCGGUGGAGCAUGUGGUUUAAUUCGAUGCAACGCGAAGAACCUUACCAGCUCUUGACAUCUUCGGAACUUUCUAGAGAUAGAUUGGUGCCUUCGGGAACCGAAUGACAG